UAAAUGCGUACGUGCUGCUCAGCGUCGUUUGACGGUUAUAUUUCGCGUUAGCGCUUACCUUUGAAUUACG
This 70-nucleotide non-coding RNA is filed under the name Fragilariopsis kerguelensis. Lineage: Eukaryota; Bacillariophyta; Bacillariophyceae; Bacillariales; Bacillariaceae. The record is from RNAcentral.